CUUUCCCUCGGAGGCGCGCGCCUGGGCCAGACGUGUCUCCGGAGUGUCCAGCAACAAUUUGUGCAUUCAUGCAUGAGUUGUUGCUGGACAUUCCUAAUUAAUAAAGUUUACUCCAAACAUCACCCCAUGUGCAGCGCUAUCAUUAAAAAGGUAACUCUCAACCUUACAAGCAGUACCCAACAUCCGCCUGGAACACAGAAGUUCCUCCAGCAGCCAGUAGAGACGCAAUGAAGAAAUACUCGUCCUCGAGUAACCAACGCACUCUACUGGGAAACGAUCCGGCGACCUACUGCUCAUUUAUUGUUAGUUUUGAAUCGGCCCAAAAUACUGUUGACAUUACA
Molecule: long non-coding RNA, 341 nt
Organism: Manduca sexta (tobacco hornworm)
Lineage: Eukaryota; Metazoa; Arthropoda; Insecta; Lepidoptera; Sphingidae
Exons: 2
Source: RefSeq, a predicted model, not a curated record